This 402-nucleotide ribosomal RNA is filed under the name uncultured bacterium. Its description in RNAcentral is "bacterial SSU rRNA". It matches the Rfam family "Bacterial small subunit ribosomal RNA", at positions 355 to 774 of the family's 1533-position model. The record is from RNAcentral.
UGGGGAAUCUUGCACAAUGGGGGCAACCCUGAUGCAGCGACGCCGCGUGAGCGAUGAAGCCCUUCGGGGCGUAAAGCUCUUUCGACCGGAACGAUAAUGACGGUACCGGGAGAAGAAGCUGCGGCUAACUACGUGCCAGCAGCCGCGGUAAUACGUAGGCAGCAAGCGUUGUUCGGAGUUAUUGGGCGUAAAGAGUGCGUAGGCGGUUUUCUAAGUUCGGUGUGAAAUCUCCCGGCUUAACUGGGAGGGUGCGCCGAAGACUGGGAAGCUGGAGUGUGGGAAAGGCAGGCGGAAUUCCUGGUGUAGCGGUGAAAUGCGUAGAUAUCAGGAGGAACACCGGCGGUGUAGACGGCUUGCUAGACCAUAACUGACGCUGAGGCACGAAAGCGUGGGUAGCAAACA